GGCUCAGGAUGAACGCUAGCGGCAGGCCUAAUACAUGCAAGUCGGACGGGAUUCAGGGAGUAGCUUGCUACGAACUGAUGAGAGUGGCGCACGGGUGCGUAACGCGUGAGCAACCUACCCAUAUCAGGGGGAUAGCCUCUCGAAAGAGAGAUUAACACCGCAUAACAUCAUUUACCGGCAUCGGUUAUGAUCAAAUAUUUAUAGGAUAUGGAUGGGCUCGCGUGACAUUAGCUAGUUGGAGGGGUAACGGCCCACCAAGGCUACGAUGUCUAGGGGCUCUGAGAGGAGAAUCCCCCACACUGGUACUGAGACACGGACCAGACUCCUACGGGAGGCAGCAGUAAGGAAUAUUGGUCAAUGGAGGGAACUCUGAACCAGCCAUGCCGCGUGCAGGAUGACUGCCCUAUGGGUUGUAAACUGCUUUUGUCAGGGAAUAAACCUUUCCACGUGUGGGAAGCUGAAUGUACCUGAAGAAUAAGGAUCGGCUAACUCCGUGCCAGCAGCCGCGGUAAU
Molecule: ribosomal RNA, 513 nt
Filed under: uncultured bacterium
Lineage: Bacteria
Description: bacterial SSU rRNA
Rfam family: Bacterial small subunit ribosomal RNA
Source: RNAcentral